UUCAGUUCUCAGCUGGUAGAGCAUGAGACUCUUAAUUUCAGGAUCGUGGGUUCGAGGCUCACACUGGGCAAAA
Non-coding RNA from Podarcis lilfordi (Lilford's wall lizard), 73 nucleotides. Lineage: Eukaryota; Metazoa; Chordata; Lepidosauria; Squamata; Lacertidae. The record is from the annotation of a GenBank genome assembly.